RNAcentral lists this ribosomal RNA (442 nucleotides) under uncultured bacterium. RNAcentral describes it as "bacterial SSU rRNA". It matches the Rfam family "Bacterial small subunit ribosomal RNA", at positions 32 to 484 of the family's 1533-position model. The record is from RNAcentral.
AAUCAACGCUGGCGGCGUGCCUCAGACAUGCAAGUCGAACGAUUAAAGCUCUCUUCGGAGAGUGUAUAGAGUGGCGCACGGGUGAGUAACACGUAAGUAAUCUACCCUCGAGUGGGGAAUAACAACCGGAAACGGUUGCUAAUACCGCAUAAUGCAGCGGCACCGCAAGGUGACAGUUGUAAAGNUUUAUCGCUUGAGGAGGAGCUUGCGGCAGAUUAGCUAGUUGGUAGGGUAACGGCUUACCAAGGCUACGAUCUGUAACCGGUCUAAGAGGACGGUCGGUCACACUGACACUGAAUAACGGGUCAGACUCCUACGGGAGGCAGCAGUCGGGAAUUUUGGGCAAUGGGCGAAAGCCUGACCCAGCAACGCCGCGUGAAGGAUGAAGUAUUUCGGUAUGUAAACUUCGAAAGAUAGGAAGAAUUAAUGACGGUACUAUUUA